This 460-nucleotide ribosomal RNA is filed under the name uncultured bacterium. RNAcentral's name for it is "partial 16S ribosomal RNA". It matches the Rfam family "Bacterial small subunit ribosomal RNA", at positions 338 to 795 of the family's 1533-position model. The record is from RNAcentral.
CCUACGGGUGGCAGCAGUGAGGAAUAUUGGUCAAUGGACGAGAGUCUGAACCAGCCAAGUAGCGUGAAGGAUGACUGCCCUAUGGGUUGUAAACUUCUUUUAUAUGGGAAUAAAAUGUUCCACGUGUGGGAUUUUGUAUGUAGCAUAUGAAUAAGGAUCGGCUAACUCCGUGCCAGCAGCCGCGGUAAUACGGAGGAUCCGAGCGUUAUCCGGAUUUAUUGGGUUUAAAGGGAGCGUAGGUGGAUUGUUAAGUCAGUUGUGAAAGUUUGCGGCUCAACCGUAAAAUUGCAGUUGAAACUGGCAGUCUUGAGUACAGUAGAGGUGGGUGGAAUUCGUGGUGUAGCGGUGAAAUGCUUAGAUAUCACGAAGAACUCCGAUUGCGAAGGCAGUUCACUGGACUGCAACUGACACUGAGGCUCGAAAGUGUGGGUAUCAAACAGGAUUAGAUACCCCAGUAGUC